GUCGGGGGGGGUAGACGCGAAACCGAGUGAUCUACCCUUGGCCAGGUUGAAGGUUGGGUAACACCAACUGGAGGACCGGAUGGGUAAGCGUUGAAAAGCUUUCCAAUGAGCUGAGGGUAGGGGUGAAAGGCUAAUCAAACUCGGAGAUAGCUCGUACUCCCCGAAAUGCAUUUAGGUGCAGCCUCUUUAUAGUAUAUCGUGAGGUAGAGCGACUGAUUGGAUGCGAGGGCUUCACCGCCUAUCAAGUCCAGAUAAACUCCGAAUGCGCGAUAUAUAUUUACAGGGAGUGAGGGCGCGGGUGCUAAGGUCCGUGUCCGAGAGGAGAAGAAUCCAGACCACCGGCUAAGGCCCCCAAAUGAUCGUUAAGUUGAACUAACGAGGUCGGAUCGCAGAGACAGCUAGGAUGUUGGCUUGGAAGCAGCCAUUCAUUUAAAGAGUGCGUAACAGCUCACUAGUCGAGCGAUCUGGCGUGGAUAAUAAUCGGGCAUAAACGAUCUGCCGAAGCCGUGGAUGUCGCAAGACAUGGUAGGGGAGCAUUCCAUGCGGCGUCGAAGAUGAGGGAUGACCCUUGUUGGAGCGCAUGGAAAAGCAAAUGUAGGUAUGAGUAACGAUAAGGGGGGCGAGAAACCCCCCCGCCGAAAGACCAAGGUUUCCUGAUCAACGCUAAUCGGAUCAGGGUGAGUCGGGACCUAAGGCAAAGCCGAACGGCGCCGCCGAUGGAAGAAUGGGUUAAUAUUCCCAUACUGCCUCAUGGAGUGACGUGGAGACGGAGAAGUGACAGUCCUGCCGGCUGACGGAAUAGCCGGUUGAAGGGUGUAGAUAUUGAUUCCCGUAGGCAAAUCCGCGGGGAGAGUCGAACCUGAGAGUAUACGGAGCGCUUGCGCAACGUAAUAUGGACGUAACCAUGCUCCCGAGAAAAUCCGCUAAACUUAUCCAUGCGGCACCCGUACCGUAAACGGACACACGUGGUCGGGUUGAGAAUACUGAGGCGCUCGAGUGAUUCACGGUUAAGGAACUAGGCAAAUUGACCCUGUAACUUCGGGAUAAAGGGUCCUCGUCGUAAGGCGAGGCGCAGAGAAUAGGUCCAGGCAACUGUUUAACAAAAACACAUGGCUGUGCUAAAUGGAAACAUGACGUAUACAGCCUGACACCUGCCCGGUGCCGGAAGGUUAAGAGGAGAUGUCAUCCGCGAGGAGA
Molecule: ribosomal RNA, 1197 nt
Filed under: Salmonella enterica subsp. enterica
Lineage: Bacteria; Pseudomonadati; Pseudomonadota; Gammaproteobacteria; Enterobacterales; Enterobacteriaceae
Description: partial 23S ribosomal RNA
Rfam family: Bacterial large subunit ribosomal RNA
Source: RNAcentral